Molecule: ribosomal RNA, 300 nt
Filed under: Pristurus rupestris rupestris
Lineage: Eukaryota; Metazoa; Chordata; Lepidosauria; Squamata; Sphaerodactylidae
Description: partial 12S ribosomal RNA
Source: RNAcentral
GACGGUGUYCCACCCAUACGAGAGGAGCCUGUCCUAUAAUCGACACCCCACGCUAUACCUUACCCCCCCUAGCCAACCAACCUAUAUACCGCCGUCGCCAGCUCACACUGUGAAUGCACCACCGUAAGCACAAUCAUCACCCAUUAAAACGACAGGUCAAGGUGUAGUUAAUGGGGGGGCAGCGAUGGGCUACAUUUUCUUCACUAGAAAAUACCACCCGCACCAUGAAACCUUUGCCCACAGGUGGAUUUAGAAGUAAGCCCUGACAAGACAUGUCAACCUGAAAUACGCCCUGGGACG